UACGUAGGGGGCGAGCGUUAUCCGGAUUUAUUGGGUUUAAAGGGUGCGUAGGCGGGAUGCCAAGUCAGCGGUAAAAAUGCGGUGCUCAACGCCGUCGAGCCGUUGAAACUGGCGUUCUUGAGUGGGCGAGAAGUAUGCGGAAUGCGUGGUGUAGCGGUGAAAUGCAUAGAUAUCACGCAGAACUCCGAUUGCGAAGGCAGCAUACCGGCGCCCUACUGACGCUGAGGCACGAAAGCGUGGGGAGCAAACAGG
This 252-nucleotide ribosomal RNA is filed under the name uncultured bacterium. RNAcentral's name for it is "partial 16S ribosomal RNA". It matches the Rfam family "Bacterial small subunit ribosomal RNA", at positions 524 to 776 of the family's 1533-position model. The record is from RNAcentral.